GGUCCGGCUAAUUACGUGCCAGCAGCCGCGGUAAUACGUAAGGACCGAGCGUUGUCCGGAAUCAUUGGGCGUAAAGAGUACGUAGGCGGUAUGAUAAGUUAGGAGUAAAAGGCACCGGCUCAACCGGCGUAAGCUUUUAAAACUGUCAUACUUGAGACAUUGAGGGGAAAGUGGAAUUUCUAGUGUAGCGGUGAAAUGCGCAGAUAUUAGGAAGAAUACCAGAGGCGAAAGCGACUUUCUAGCGAUGAUCUGACGCUGAGGUACGAAAGCGUGGGAAGCAAACAGGAUUAGAUACCCUGGUAGUCCACGCUGUAAACGGUGGGUACUAGGUGUGGGAUCCAUUCCACGGAUUCUGUGCCGUAGCUAACGCAUUAAGUACCCCGCCUGGGGAGUACGGCCGCA
Molecule: ribosomal RNA, 402 nt
Filed under: uncultured bacterium
Lineage: Bacteria
Description: bacterial SSU rRNA
Rfam family: Bacterial small subunit ribosomal RNA
Source: RNAcentral